Molecule: long non-coding RNA, 426 nt
Organism: Gossypium raimondii (Peruvian cotton)
Lineage: Eukaryota; Viridiplantae; Streptophyta; Magnoliopsida; Malvales; Malvaceae
Exons: 4
Source: RefSeq, a predicted model, not a curated record
UUAAAAGUUAAAACAAAAUCCCUAACUAAGCCCGUGCCCUCCCCUCCCUUAGUCCCUCCUCCCUUUUUUCCCCAAUUCGAAAAUCUUCACCAUCACCUCCGGUCGACCCUCCUCCAUCGAUCCACCUCCUGACCUCCGGUCCUCCACAGCUGACGGCUCCACCUAAUUCCAAAAUCAGAGCCAAGAGAAGGAAGAAUCUCGGGUUUCAGAUUUUAAGACUUAUCCAAAAUACCGGAAGAUCAAGAAGAUGUUUCAAGAUUAUCAACGGUGUUGAAGCACAAGAAAAACUUAAACGUUUCUAUAAUGGUUUUGAACUGAUGUGUUAUUGUUAUUAGUUUGGUUUGGUUUGUUAUUGUUGUUGGUUAAUUGGACUUUUGUUAUGUUAUUUUGGUGUAGGUUUCUAUUGUAUUUUGGACUUUUGUUGCC